Molecule: ribosomal RNA, 495 nt
Filed under: uncultured bacterium
Lineage: Bacteria
Description: partial 16S ribosomal RNA
Rfam family: Bacterial small subunit ribosomal RNA
Source: RNAcentral
GACGAACGCUGGCGGCGUGCCUAAUACAUGCAAGUAGAACGCUGAAGGAGGAGCUUGCUCUUCUGGAUGAGUUGCGAACGGGUGAGUAACGCGUAGGUAACCUGCCUGGUAGCGUGGGAUAACUAUUGGAAACGAUAGCUAAUACCGCAUAACAGUAGAUGUUGCAUGACAUUUGCUUAAAAGGUGCAAUUGCACCACUACCAGAUGGACCUGCGUUGUAUUAGCUAGUUGGUGGGGUAACGGCUCACCAAGGCGACGAUACAUAGCCGACCUGAGAGGGUGAUCGGCCACACUGGGACUGAGACACGGCCCAGACUCCUACGGGAGGCAGCAGUAGGGAAUCUUCGGCAAUGGACGGAAGUCUGACCGAGCAACGCCGCGUGAGUGAAGAAGGUUUUCGGAUCGUAAAGCUCUGUUGUAAGAGAAGAACGAGUGUGAGAGUGGAAAGUUCACACUGUGACGGUAUCUGACCAGAAAGGGACGGCUAACUACGUG